GGGGGUAUGGCUCAGUGGUAGGGUGCUUGCUUAGCAUGCACAAGGCCCUGGGUUCAAUUCCCAGCACCACAA
This 72-nucleotide transfer RNA is filed under the name Mus musculus (house mouse). It matches the Rfam family "tRNA". Rfam says of the family: Transfer RNA (tRNA) molecules are approximately 80 nucleotides in length. Their secondary structure includes four short double-helical elements and three loops (D, anti-codon, and T loops). The record is from Rfam by way of RNAcentral. Lineage: Eukaryota; Metazoa; Chordata; Mammalia; Rodentia; Muridae. RNAcentral also lists the same sequence under 1 other name.